GAUGAACGCUAGCGGCAGGCCUAACACAUGCAAGUCGAGGGAGAGGUUACCUUCGGGUAACCAAAACCGGCGCACGGGUGCGUAACGCGUAUACAAUCUGCCUUUCACAUAGGGAUAGCCCGAAGAAAUUUGGAUUAAUACCUAAUGGUAUAUAAGAGCGGCAUCGUUUUUAUAUUAAAGCUACGGUGGUGAAAGAUGAGUAUGCGUUCUAUUAGCUAGUUGGAGAGGUAACGGCUCCCCAAGGCGACGAUAGAUAGGGGUUCUGAGAGGGAUGUCCCCCACACUGGUACUGAGAUACGGACCAGACUCCUACGGGAGGCAGCAGUGAGGAAUAUUGGACAAUGGUCGGAAGACUGAUCCAGCCAUGCCGCGUGCAGGAUGAAGGUCCUAUGGAUUGUAAACUGCUUUUGUAAGGGAAGAAUAGGGAGUACGUGUACUUUGAUGACGGUACCUUACGAAUAAGCAUCGGCUAACUCCGUGCCAGCAGCCGCGGUAAUACGGAGGAUGCGAGCGUUAUCCGGAAUCAUUGGGUUUAAAGGGUCCGUAGGCGGGCUGAUAAGUCAGAGGUGAAAGCGCUUAGCUCAACUAAGCAACUGCCUUUGAAACUGUCAGCCUUGAAUGAUUGUGAAGUAGUUGGAAUGUGUAGUGUAGCGGUGAAAUGCUUAGAUAUUACACAGAACACCGAUAGCGAAGGCAUAUUACUAACAAUUUAUUGACGCUGAUGGACGAAAGCGUGGGGAGCGAACAG
Molecule: ribosomal RNA, 748 nt
Filed under: uncultured Capnocytophaga sp.
Lineage: Bacteria; Pseudomonadati; Bacteroidota; Flavobacteriia; Flavobacteriales; Flavobacteriaceae
Description: bacterial SSU rRNA
Rfam family: Bacterial small subunit ribosomal RNA
Source: RNAcentral